UGGUGCAGUUAACUAAUGUGUUUGGUGAUUGUUUUGGCUGAUUUCAAUGGUGUUUUGAAGUCCAAUUGAAGCAGCCAAGCUAUGAAAAAAUAGGCUUAGGCUUUGUCUUGGCUUAAGGGUGAAAGGGAGUGGAAAACAUAAUACUUACAACACCUAGUGAGGUGUCAAAACAAGGUGAAACUUAUUUAAGGUCAGAAUACUUAACCUUAAAUUCUUCUAAAGAAGGUGUUUGGAUAGUUGAAACAUUCAUUACAACGGAUUUAUAUUGUUUGGUGUUUUUUAAUCCUACAAACUGUCAAUUUUAGGAUCAAGGAACAACUGAGGUUAUUGGACUUGUUAUGGCACUGAAGCAUGUAUUCCAAAAAAUGGAUCAUACAGAACUCAUCACCUUCACCUUUUUAGAUUUUCUGUCUUCUUUUGGUCUAGCCCUAUUUGCCAUUUGGAAGCACCCUCUUUCCUAUUUUCUUCUCUUCCUUUUCUACCAAUUCACUCUUUUUUCCAUUAUCUUCACCUUUUCCGUCUUCUUUCACCUCAUCACAUUAUUAAACUCUUCUUUUAUCAUACCCCUAGCUCUCUCUGUUCACAAUUAUCCCACUAUUUUCAUUGCAUGU
RNAcentral lists this long non-coding RNA (611 nucleotides) under Vigna radiata. Its description in RNAcentral is "long non-coding RNA (VRAD_LNC006504)". Lineage: Eukaryota; Viridiplantae; Streptophyta; Magnoliopsida; Fabales; Fabaceae. The record is from RNAcentral.